UGCGAUAGCUCAGUUGGCAGAGCAUGAGACUCUGACUCACAAGGCUGUGGGUUUGAGUCCCACACUGAGCAA
Podarcis lilfordi (Lilford's wall lizard) is the source of this 72-nucleotide non-coding RNA. Lineage: Eukaryota; Metazoa; Chordata; Lepidosauria; Squamata; Lacertidae. The record is from the annotation of a GenBank genome assembly.